Molecule: long non-coding RNA, 1989 nt
Organism: Ahaetulla prasina
Lineage: Eukaryota; Metazoa; Chordata; Lepidosauria; Squamata; Colubridae
Exons: 4
Source: RefSeq, a predicted model, not a curated record
GGGAGGGAGAAAGACAGACAAAAUCAAAGCUUUGCUUGUCUUCUUUUUCUCCGUCUGGGGUUUUUAUUUUAUUUUUUAUUUUUGUUUUUUAUCGUCCUCAAAGUUGUCCUCGCUUCGCAUUCGUUACCCAUCCCGAGAAACGGGCAGGAAAAGUUCUUCAAUUUUUUUGCAACUUGGCUCAUCCCUAAAGCAGCUUUUUAAAAAGUUUUUUUCUUCUUUCCCACCCAGGGGAUGGGAGUUGACCAAAAAGGGAUCUCUGGAGAGCAGGAAUCUGAAUAAGUGGAUCGUCUUAAAUAUCUUCCUUUUUAAAAUAAUAAUAAUAAUAAUAAUAAUCCCUCGUCUUUGGGAGGGGCCCCGGCUCCAAAGAGGCUGUCAUUUCAGCUAGGAUUUCAAUUUAAUGACCACGUUCAAAGGAUAUCAAAAGUAAUUCCUUCGGGCUGGGCUGGGCUCUCCAUUCCUCACCCCAAAAAAUUUGCUCCUCUUUUGUCUGGAGUUUCCUCCACUGCUUCUCCCUCUCUCUCUCUUUCCCCUGCGGAGCCUCUUCGGCUAGGAAGAGUCUACCUUCAAAAGUCCCCACCCGUCCUUUUCUAUUCCACCGACAGUUAACCCUCACCCCACCCCGCCUCUUCCUAACCACAAUUGAAUCCUUGGAUACUUCCUUCUUUCCUUCCUUCCUUCCUUCCCUGGGUCGAAUAUUCAGGCCAGCCAUUUGAAGGGACACCAGGAGGUCAUCUAGCCUGACCCCCCCCCGCUCCCUGGCACCGCUUCCUCGUCAGAGCGAAACCAGAAAACAACUCCUGCUUCUCUGGUAUGCUCAAUCCACUCUUGGUGUUUAAAAGUUUCCUUUUUAGCAGCUGGAACAGGCCACAGCAUGGAUUUAUUUUUUUAAAAUAUUUUUUGAUUGGCAGGCUAAGGGGUGGGGUGUGUGGGGCGGGGGGGGGGAGUGAGGGGAAACGAUGGGGCCUUGAGGCUGCCCUGCCAAAUCCUUGCAAGGUUUUUAAAAGGUUUCGAACCCUCUCCCCAAAUGGCUCGAAAGAAAAUUCCUUUUGCAGAAAAAGUUCAUUAACCGUCGUUUUCCUUCCUUUCUUCCUUCGCUUUCAUGCCUUUUCCUUUCUCCUGUCUUCCUCUUCUCCCCUCCCCUCUCCUCCUUUUCUCCAUCCUUCCUUUUUCUCCUCCCCUUCCUUCCUCUCUCCUCCCGUCUCCUCUCCUUCCCUUCCUUCCCUCCUUCCUCUCCUCCCUUUCUCCAUCCUUCCAUUUUGUCUUCCUCUCCCUUCCGUCUCCUCCCCUUUUCUCCUGCCUUCUUUCUCCUUUCCCUUCCUUCCUUUCUUCCUCUCCUCUCCUCCCCUUUCCCUCCGUCUUUCCUCCCUUCUUUCUCCUUUAUCUUUUUUUCUCCCUCCCUCCUUCCCUCUUCUUUCUCCUUUCUCCCUGUCCCGUCUUCCCUUCCCUUCCCUACCCUCCUCUCCUAUUUCUCCUUUAACUUUAAUUUAAGCCACGAGAUUUCCUGGCAACGCCUCGGAUGGCAUUCAGGCUUCCUUGCCAGCUGUGACGUUAUGGCCGAAAGAAACGAAAACUUCGGAGCAAAGCGGCGAAAGUUGGAAGAGCUGCGUUCGAAUGGGGCACCCCGGCGGAAGAGCUGCGUUCGAAUCGUGCGCCUGGAUUUUUUUUCCCCACCCCCCGCUUUUCCAGACCGAAUCUCCCUGGAGAGCAGACUGCCUUAAAAGGCUAAAAAAAGACUCAAGAGCUUAAAAUGGAGAACUUGCGCAAGUGAGCCAAGUUGCUUUUUUCUUCUUUUUCUUUUUUCUUUUUCUUUUUUGCAAAAUCGCACUGGAUUUGGACUGCCAUCUCUCUUCUCAGAACCUCCAGCGGUCUCUCGCGAGCCAGGACCCCCUGCCCUGAAAUGCCCAUCUGUCGGUCGGUCGGUCCGUCCGUCCAGGGCGCCGACCGCUCCGCAGCGACGCCAUCCGCAAUCACAUCCCCACCCCCUCCUUA